This 497-nucleotide ribosomal RNA is filed under the name uncultured bacterium. RNAcentral's name for it is "partial 16S ribosomal RNA". It matches the Rfam family "Bacterial small subunit ribosomal RNA", at positions 28 to 507 of the family's 1533-position model. The record is from RNAcentral.
GAUGAACGCUGGCGGCGUGCCUAAUACAUGCAAGUCGAGCGAACGGACGAGAAGCUUGCUUCUCUGAUGUUAGCGGCGGACGGGUGAGUAACACGUGGAUAACCUACCUAUAAGACUGGGAUAACUUCGGGAAACCGGAUCUAAUACCGGAUAAUAUUUUGAACCGCAUGGUUCAAAAGUGAAAGACGGUCUUACUGUCACUUAUAGAUGGAUCCGCGCUGCAUUAGCUAGUUGGUAAGGUAACGGCUUACCAAGGCAACGAUUCAUAGCCGACCUGAGAGGGUGAUCGGCCACACUGGAACUGAGACACGGCCCAGACUCCUACGGGAGGCAGCAGUAGGGAAUCUUCGGCAAUGGGCGAAAGCCUGACGGAGCAACGCCGCGUGAGUGAUGAAGGUCUUCGGAUCGUAAAACUCUGUUGUUAGGGAAGAACAUAUGUGUAAGUAAAUGUGCACAUCUUGACGGUACCUAAUCAGAAAGCAACGGCUAACUACGUG